Molecule: ribosomal RNA, 44 nt
Filed under: Convolvulus prostratus
Lineage: Eukaryota; Viridiplantae; Streptophyta; Magnoliopsida; Solanales; Convolvulaceae
Description: partial 5.8S ribosomal RNA
Source: RNAcentral
AAAAAACGACUCUCGGCAACGGAUAUCUCGGCUCUCGCAUCGAU